CCCUAAAACGUACGUCUCAGUUCGGAUUGCAGGCUGCAACUCGCCUGCAUGAAGCCGGAAUCGCUAGUAAUCGCAGAUCAGAAUGCUGCGGUGAAUACGUUCCCGGGUCUUGUACACACCGCCCGUCACACCAUGGGAGUCGAUAACGCCCGAAGUCAGUGACCCAACCGAGAGGAGGGAGCUGCCGAAGGCGGGAUGGAUAACUGGGGUGAAGUCGUAACAAGGUAGC
RNAcentral lists this ribosomal RNA (229 nucleotides) under uncultured bacterium. RNAcentral's name for it is "partial 16S ribosomal RNA". It matches the Rfam family "Bacterial small subunit ribosomal RNA", at positions 1272 to 1500 of the family's 1533-position model. The record is from RNAcentral.